This 222-nucleotide unclassified non-coding RNA is filed under the name Clonostachys rosea. Its description in RNAcentral is "partial contains small subunit ribosomal RNA, internal transcribed spacer 1, and 5.8S ribosomal RNA". RNAcentral also lists the same sequence under 1 other name. The record is from RNAcentral. Lineage: Eukaryota; Fungi; Ascomycota; Sordariomycetes; Hypocreales; Bionectriaceae.
UCUCCGUUGGUGAACCAGCGGAGGGAUCAUUACAGAGUGUAAAAACUCCCAAAACCCAUGUGAACAUACCUUUUUGUUGCUUCGGCGGGAUCGCCCCGGGCGCCUUGUGUGCCCCGGAGUCAGGCGCCCGCCGGGGGACCCAAACUCUUGUUUUUAACGAGUAUCUUCUGAGUAACGUUUUUAAAUAAAUAAAAACUUUCAACAACGGAUCUCUUGGUUCUG